RNAcentral lists this ribosomal RNA (395 nucleotides) under uncultured bacterium. RNAcentral describes it as "bacterial SSU rRNA". It matches the Rfam family "Bacterial small subunit ribosomal RNA", at positions 971 to 1422 of the family's 1533-position model. The record is from RNAcentral.
UUACCGGCUUGACAUGAUGAAAGCCCCUUCGGGGACAGGUGCUGCAUGGCUGUCGUCAGCUCGUGUCGUGAGACGUCGCGUUAAGUCGCUUAACGAGCGCAACCCUGUCUUAGUUGCCAGCAUAUGGGACUCUAAGAGACCGCCGGUGUCAACCGGAGGAAGGUGGGGACGACGUCAAGUCAUCAUGGCCUUUAUGCCGGGCUGCACACGUCAUACAAUGCCGUACAAGGGGCACCGCGAGGGGAGCAAUCUCAAAACGCGCUCAGUUCGGAUUGCAGGCUGCAACUCGCCUGCAUGAAGCUGGAAUCGCUAGUAAUCGCAGUCAGCAUAUGCGGUGAAUAUGUUCCUGAGCCUUGUACACACCGCCCGUCAAGCCACGAAAGCGGGGGGCCAAA